Molecule: ribosomal RNA, 321 nt
Filed under: uncultured bacterium
Lineage: Bacteria
Description: bacterial SSU rRNA
Rfam family: Bacterial small subunit ribosomal RNA
Source: RNAcentral
GCAAUACGGGAGCGGCAGACGGGAGAGUAACACGUGGGAACGUACCCUUCGGUUCGGAAUAACCCAGGGAAACUUGGGCUAAUACCGGAUACGCCCGUAAGGAGAAAGAUUUAUUGCCGAGGGAUCGGCCCGCGUCCGAUUAGCUAGUUGGUGAGGUAACGGCCCACCAAGGCGACGAUCGGUAGCUGGUCUGAGAGGAUGAUCAGCCUCACUGGGACUGAGACACGGCCCAGACUCCUACGGGAGGCAGCAGUGGGGAAUAUUGGACAAUGGGCGCAAGCCUGAUCCAGCCAUGCCGCGUGGGUGAUGAAGGCCUUAGGG